GUGAACCAGUUGUCCUCCCCUUUCAUAGUGCAAUGACUCGACUUGCUCACAAAGAAGAGGAAGAACAGAUCAGUGGCCAAAGACAGUGACGAGUGCGUUUGCCGAUUGGCCACGCAGCACCAUCGAGCAAGCGGUUUGAAAGGUUCCCACUGCACAACACUGAACGAACCGCAGUGAGAAUCAUCUUUAAUAAUGGGGUGCAGGUGCCAGGGAGAGAAAUAGUGAGACAGACUCGGUGUGACUUUCGUUCGGAGUUUGGUAACAGUUGCCUCACGAAAGGAGGAACGUUUCACAGAGUGGCAAUGUCGAAUACUCAAAUCAAGGUUUCGACAAAGCUGGUAAAGUACGAAGUGAAAAUAAAUAUUUAAAAAAAAGGAGAGAGAGAGAUAUAAAGGGAGAAAUAUAAAAGGUUAUGAACGGAGCAUCACAACAGCCUGGGCUCAGCAUCACUGCAUCUAACCGGAGAUCCUAUACGGGGAACCAGUAUCAUCCUACACACACACCCAAGUUCUAAAAGAGAGAGAAAGCAACACACAUAACCCAAUCUCCAAACCCUGGCAGCUGAUCAUUCUCUUGUGUAUGGAUUUUCGAAGAGGAAGGAGGUGACUCCAGCGCCCGUUGCUCCCGCACAGAGGCCGGGAUCAGUCGACGACCUGCCAGGCCUGCGUCGAGAACGUCGCCCGAAGCAAGCAAGCAAGCAAGCAAGAAAGCAAGCAAGCAAGAGAACUAGGCAUCUCGUUACGCUUGAACUAUGGAGUAAGCUCGGCAUGCGUGUACAGGUAUGUGAUUUCCGAAAAGGUUCGAGAAG
Molecule: long non-coding RNA, 808 nt
Organism: Penaeus chinensis
Lineage: Eukaryota; Metazoa; Arthropoda; Malacostraca; Decapoda; Penaeidae
Exons: 3
Source: RefSeq, a predicted model, not a curated record